This is a long non-coding RNA of Fukomys damarensis (Damara mole-rat), 157 nucleotides long. RefSeq lists it as uncharacterized. The record is from RefSeq and is a predicted model, not a curated record. Lineage: Eukaryota; Metazoa; Chordata; Mammalia; Rodentia; Bathyergidae. The transcript is spliced from 3 exons.
GGUGUGGCAUGGAGUGGCAUGGUGCAUAUCCUUCCCAAGACAUUAUAGCAGGAAAACCACGGAUUUAAACACCGUGAACAUUAACUCUUCACCUGGACCUACAGAUGCCCAUUAGAGUCUGGCACAAGCCAGCAGCAGAAGACAGAGGCCAGCGGUG